This 247-nucleotide ribosomal RNA is filed under the name uncultured bacterium. RNAcentral's name for it is "partial 16S ribosomal RNA". It matches the Rfam family "Bacterial small subunit ribosomal RNA", at positions 793 to 1055 of the family's 1533-position model. The record is from RNAcentral.
GUCCACGCCGUAACGAUGGCGCUAGGUGUGGGAGCGUAUCCCCGUGCCGCAGCUAACGCAUUAAGCGCCCGCCUGGGAGUACGGCCGCAAGGCUAAACUCAAAGGAAUUGACGGGCCCGCACAAGCAGCGGAGCAUGUGGCUUAAUUCGAAGCAACGCGAAGAACCUUACCAGGGCUUGACAUGCGCAUGAAGCGGCGGAGACGCCGUGGCCGAGAGGAGUGCGCGCAGGUGGUGCAUGGCUGUCGU